RNAcentral lists this ribosomal RNA (497 nucleotides) under uncultured bacterium. Its description in RNAcentral is "partial 16S ribosomal RNA". It matches the Rfam family "Bacterial small subunit ribosomal RNA", at positions 28 to 507 of the family's 1533-position model. The record is from RNAcentral.
GACGAACGCUGGCGGCGUGCCUAAUACAUGCAAGUUGAGCGCUGAAGGUUGGUACCUGUACCAACUGGAUGAGCAGCGAACGGGUGAGUAACGCGUGGGGAAUCUGCCUUUGAGCGGGGGACAACAUUUGGAAACGAAUGCUAAUACCGCAUAAAAACUUUAAACACAAGUUUUAAGUUUGAAAGAUGCAAUUGCAUCACUCAAAGAUGAUCCCGCGUUGUAUUAGCUAGUUGGUGAGGUAAAGGCUCACCAAGGCGAUGAUACAUAGCCGACCUGAGAGGGUGAUCGGCCACAUUGGGACUGAGACACGGCCCAAACUACUACGGGAGGCAGCAGUAGGGAAUCUUCGGCAAUGGACGAAAGUCUGACCGAGCAACGCCGCGUGAGUGAAGAAGGUUUUCGGAUCGUAAAACUCUGUUGGUAGAGAAGAACGUUGGUGAGAGUGGAAAGCUCAUCAAGUGACGGUAACUACCCAGAAAGGGACGGCUAACUACGUG